RNAcentral lists this long non-coding RNA (427 nucleotides) under Oryzias javanicus (javanese ricefish). RNAcentral describes it as "lncRNA (ENSOJAG00000012409.1)". Lineage: Eukaryota; Metazoa; Chordata; Actinopteri; Beloniformes; Adrianichthyidae. The record is from RNAcentral.
UGGAAAUAGACCUCUGAGGUUGUUGGUAAAUGUUGAGAACAAAGAUGGGUUGAAGAUGACGACUGCAGGUUCUGCCGGUCGGCACAAGGCGCUGGGAGAUUUGUUUUGGGGAGAGGGCGACUGUUUGGGAAUAUUUUGAAAAGUAGCAAGAGUUAUGUCGCGGAGGGAGCUACUUGAUGCACGCAAGUCUUUGAGGAGUGUUCGGGGAGGACCAAGAAGCAAGAAACAGAGAGACUCUGAGACCACAGAGGAUGAGACCACAGAGCCUCAGAUGGAAACCAAAGAAGGCCCUGGGCGAUCCCAAGACAAGGCCGGUAGAAGAGGGCCCUCAGGUAUAUCCUAAAAAAAAAAAAAAAACUUUUCCUGUUUGUAUUCAUCAACUAUUAUCACCUAAAGCAUUACUUUGAAACCCGUUGCCCCGAGCGUA